RNAcentral lists this ribosomal RNA (322 nucleotides) under uncultured eukaryote. Its description in RNAcentral is "partial 18S ribosomal RNA". It matches the Rfam family "Eukaryotic small subunit ribosomal RNA", at positions 1470 to 1796 of the family's 1831-position model. The record is from RNAcentral.
CCCUUAGAUGUUCUGGGCCGCACGCGUGCUACACUGAGUGGAUCAGCGGGUCAGGUUGCGCGAAAGCGUUUCCUAAUCUUUAAAUCCGCUCGUGAUGGGGAUUGACGGUUGCAAUUUUCUGUCAUGAACGAGGAAUACCUUGUAAGCGCGGGUCAUCAUCCCGCGCUGAAUACGUCCCUGCCCUUUGUACACACCGCCCGUCGGUCCUACCGAUUGAGUGGUCCGGUGAGGCUUUGGGAUCUGAGCGGAAAGAGCGUUUCGCUGUUUCUGCUCGGAAAACUCAGUCGAACCUUAUCAUUUAGAGGAAGGAGAAGUCGUAACA